AACAUAUCACCUAGAGCACUGGAGUUGCUAAACGGAGAGUUUUCACUACUAAUCUGGUGCCAGAGGAAGAUGAUAAAAUAAAUUGACUUUACAUGUAUGACUGCUGGAUGGGGAACAACUGAACUUCACAGUGAGUAUAUGUACCACCUCCUCCAAUGUUAGAAUCCAAACAAAUAUAUGUGACAUCUAAGUGUACUCUGUUUGUUCACUUUCAGUUUUUCUCUAUUUUUAAUACGAAUAAUGGUGGGAAAAGUCUUUUAAAAUAAUGGAUCUA
This 274-nucleotide long non-coding RNA is filed under the name Homo sapiens (human). RNAcentral's name for it is "non-protein coding lnc-ERGIC2-1:1". Lineage: Eukaryota; Metazoa; Chordata; Mammalia; Primates; Hominidae. The record is from RNAcentral.